Molecule: non-coding RNA, 244 nt
Filed under: Clostridium cylindrosporum
Lineage: Bacteria; Bacillati; Bacillota; Clostridia; Eubacteriales; Clostridiaceae
Description: T-box sequence
Rfam family: T-box leader
About the family: Uncharged tRNA acts as the effector for transcription antitermination of genes in the T-box leader family. T-boxes are found upstream of many aminoacyl-tRNA synthetase genes and some amino acid biosynthetic genes usually in Gram-positive bacteria. The anticodon of a specific tRNA base pairs to a specifier sequence within the T-box motif, and the NCCA acceptor tail of the tRNA base pairs to a conserved bulge in the T-box antiterminator hairpin.
Source: RNAcentral
UUAAACAUGAUGAUUAGGAAAAGUAGGUUAAGUGAAGCAUAACAGAGAGGAACUACUAUGCUGAAAGAGUUCUAUGAUAAAUCUUAGUUGAAGUGCCCCUAGGAGUGUUAAGCCGAAGUUAGUAGGCGGUUACGUUUGUCCGCGUUAUAGGAAUAGGAUCUGUUAGGAUCUGAUAGAGAUUAUUUAGGAUUUUCCUAAUAUAAAUCAGAGUGGAACCGCGGAAGUAUUGACUUCUGCCUCUGUA